Molecule: long non-coding RNA, 517 nt
Filed under: Monodelphis domestica (gray short-tailed opossum)
Lineage: Eukaryota; Metazoa; Chordata; Mammalia; Didelphimorphia; Didelphidae
Description: lncRNA (ENSMODG00000033109.2)
Source: RNAcentral
CAGGAGGCAGCCUGAGGGCUGGGGCGGGAGGUAAGUCCUGCCUGGGGAGGGGGUCCACAGACGCUGCCUUCUUCUUCUUGUUGUCUCCCUCCAGCUCGAGCUGAGGCUUCUGCUCCAGGAGUUAUCUGCUCCAGGCCUCCUUCUUAACCCCUCCAGAGCCAGUGCCCCGGUGAUCUCUCUGGGUCUCUGUUUGAGUCUGGUCUCCAGGCAACAGGUGUGGGACUGGCUUCCUGGUGUUGGAGGAGAGAGGAGCUUGUUCAGCCCAGUCUGGAGUGGCAUGCUCUUCUUGGUUCAGCCGGAAGAUUCAGGCCCAGUUGCUUCUGAAGGAAAGGGAGAAGAUGGAUGACAAACUGAGCGGCAUGGAAAGAAACCUUGACUUUUUUCUCUGGAGAGAGAUCCAGGUCUGAAACCCAUCUGUGGAGCAAGCUGACGAUGCUGUUAACUCGACUCCACUGAGGAUGCAUACUGUCAGUUUUCAUGAAAAUUCAAUAAAGUCAACUCCCCAAUGGAUGGAGCA